This 503-nucleotide ribosomal RNA is filed under the name uncultured bacterium. RNAcentral describes it as "partial 16S ribosomal RNA". It matches the Rfam family "Bacterial small subunit ribosomal RNA", at positions 29 to 522 of the family's 1533-position model. The record is from RNAcentral.
AUUGAACGCUGGCGGCAGGCCUAACACAUGCAAGUCGGACGGUAGCACAGAGAGCUUGCUCUCGGGUGACGAGUGGCGGACGGGUGAGUAAUGUCUGGGGAUCUGCCCGAUAGAGGGGGAUAACCACUGGAAACGGUGGCUAAUACCGCAUAACGUCGCAAGACCAAAGAGGGGGACCUUCGGGCCUCUCCCUAGCGGAUGAACCCAGAUGGGAUUAGCUAGUAGGCGGGGUAACGGCCCACCUAGGCGACGAUCCCUAGCUGGUCUGGGAGGAUGACCAGCCACACUGGAACUGAGACACGGUCCAGACUCCUACGGGAGGCAGCAGUGGGGAAUAUUGCACAAUGGGCGCAAGCCUGAUGCAGCCAUGCCGCGUGUAUGAAGAAGGCCUUCGGGUUGUAAAGUACUUUCAGCGGGGAGGAAGGCGAUGUGGUUAAUAACCGCGUCGAUUGACGUUACCCGCAGAAGAAGCACCGGCUAACUCCGUGCCAGCAGCCGCCGUA